RNAcentral lists this ribosomal RNA (630 nucleotides) under uncultured Hyalocladosporiella. RNAcentral describes it as "eukaryotic LSU rRNA". The stretch from base 245 to 399 matches the Rfam family "5.8S ribosomal RNA". The record is from RNAcentral. Lineage: Eukaryota; Fungi; Ascomycota; Eurotiomycetes; Chaetothyriales.
UCCGUAGGUGAACCUGCGGAAGGAUCAUUACCGAGUUAGGGUCUGCCCUCGCGCGGCCCGACCUCCCAACCCUGUGUUUAUACCACCUUGUCGUUGCUUCGGCGGACCGGCCGCGACCGCCUCUGGUCCCGGCCGCCGGGGGCCCUGGUUGCCCCUGGAGCGCGUCCGCCGACGGCCCCCACAAAACUCUUGUAUCGAAACGUGUCGUCUGAAUGCAAACUUGAUAAAUAAUCAAAAAAAACAAAACAUUCAACAACGGAUCUCUUGGUUCUGGCAUCGAUGAAGAACGCAGCGAAAUGCGAUAAGUAAUGCGAAUUGCAGAAUUUCCGUGAGUCAUCGAAUCUUUGAACGCACAUUGCGCCCAUUGGUAUUCCGAUGGGCAUGCCUGUUCGAGCGUCAUUAUCCUCUCUCAAACCCCGGGUUUGGUGUUGGGCCGCGCCGCGCGUCCGCGCGUCGGGCCCCAAAGACAAUGACGGCGUCCGUGGGACCCUCGGUGCAACGAGCUUCUCGUGAGCACGCGCCGAGUUUCAAGGACACACCGGGCCGGUCUAACCUCCAAUUUUUUUCUCAGGUUGACCUCGGAUCGGGUAGGGAUACCCGCUGAACUUAAGCAUAUCAAUAAGCGGAGGA